Molecule: ribosomal RNA, 497 nt
Filed under: uncultured Desulfobulbus sp.
Lineage: Bacteria; Pseudomonadati; Thermodesulfobacteriota; Desulfobulbia; Desulfobulbales; Desulfobulbaceae
Description: bacterial SSU rRNA
Rfam family: Bacterial small subunit ribosomal RNA
Source: RNAcentral
CCCGCUCAGCAACUCAAUGAUUGGACGGGGCCCGCACAAGCGGUGGAGUAUGUGGUUUAAUUCGAUGCAACGCGAAGACCUUACCUGGUCUUGACAUCCCGGAGACCCUUAGGAAACUAGGGGGUGCUUCCAUCUGGAAGAAUCUGGAGACAGGUGCUGCAUGGCUGUCGUCAGCUCGUGUCGUGAGAUGUUGGGUUAAGUCCCGCAACGAGCGCAACCCUUGCCUUUAGUUGCCAGCAGUUCGGCUGGGCACUCUAAAGGGACUGCCGGUGUUAAACCGGAGGAAGGUGGGGAUGACGUCAAGUCCUCAUGGCCUUUAUGACCAGGGCUACACACGUACUACAAUGGCCGAUACAAAGGGCAGCGACACUGCGAGGUGAAGCCAAUCCCGUAAAAUCGGUCUCAGUCCGGAUUGGAGUCUGCAACUCGACUCCAUGAAGUUGGAAUCGCUAGUAAUCGUGGAUCAGCAUGCCACGGUGAAUACGUUCCCGGGCCUU